UACGUAGGGGGCAAGCGUUGUCCGGAUUUAUUGGGCGUAAAGAGCUCGUAGGCGGUUCGGUAAGUCGGCUGUGAAAUCUCCACGCUCAACGUGGAGGGGUCAGUCGAAACUGCCGUGACUCGAGUCCGGUAGAGGAGUGUGGAGUUCCCGGUGUAGCGGUGAAAUGCGCAGAGAUCGGGAGGAACACCCGUAGCGAAGGCGGCACUCUGGGCCGGUACUGACGCUGAGGAGCGAAAGCGUGGGGAGCAAA
This 250-nucleotide ribosomal RNA is filed under the name uncultured bacterium. RNAcentral describes it as "partial 16S ribosomal RNA". It matches the Rfam family "Bacterial small subunit ribosomal RNA", at positions 524 to 772 of the family's 1533-position model. The record is from RNAcentral.